Molecule: RNA transcript, 2154 nt
Organism: Bubalus bubalis (water buffalo)
Lineage: Eukaryota; Metazoa; Chordata; Mammalia; Artiodactyla; Bovidae
Gene: COPZ1
Gene name: COPI coat complex subunit zeta 1
Exons: 10
Source: RefSeq, a predicted model, not a curated record
AUAGAUGACAUUUGGUUGUCCAAUAACCUUCAUCCUAGGCGGGAUCUAAUAAGGACGUAAGGCCAAUCAGAGGCGGCGUUGCCUCUGUGGCUCCACGUCGGCACCAGCUGCUGGGCAAGAUGGAGGCGCUGAUUUUGGAACCCUCCCUGUAUACCGUCAAAGCCAUCCUGAUUCUGGACAAUGAUGGAGAUCGACUUUUUGCCAAGUACUAUGACGACACCUACCCCAGUGUCAAGGAGCAAAAGGCCUUUGAGAAGAACAUUUUCAACAAGACCCAUCGGACUGACAGUGAAAUUGCCCUCUUGGAAGGCCUGACAGUGGUAUACAAAAGCAGUAUCGAUCUCUAUUUCUAUGUGAUCGGCAGCUCCUAUGAAAAUGAGCUGAUGCUCAUGACUGUUCUGAACUGCCUCUUCGACUCAUUGAGCCAGAUGCUGAGGAAGAAUGUAGAAAAGCGAGCUCUGCUGGAGAACAUGGAGGGGCUCUUCUUGGCUGUGGAUGAAAUCGUAGAUGGAGGGGUGAUCCUAGAGAGCGAUCCCCAGCAAGUGGUACACCGGGUGGCAUUAAGGGGAGAAGAUGUACCCCUUACGGAGCAGACCGUGUCUCAGGUAUACCUCUUCUCUCUUCAUCCCCCCAGUGGACUUGAAUUUUUUUGGAAUUUCCCAAACUGACAGUCCUCUAGGGCCUUAGAGAGCUUCUUCCCAUCCCUCUACCCUUGGGGAUUUUCUAUUUGCCAAUCUUCUAAGGACAGGGAAGGUGCUACAGUCAGCCAAAGAACAGAUCAAGUGGUCCCUCCUUCGGUGAAGACCCCACUGUUCCUGGCUCCUCACCCCCUCAAAAAAUCCACGUCGGCUGUGACUUGUCAUGCAGUCCCCCAAAUGAUGCUCUCAGGGUCAUCUUGGGGAUCACAGGGAUCCUUAAAUCUCCAUCCCGUCUGUUGUUGCCUCCUCAUUCCCACCCCAAACCCAUAUGCACUUCCCGUUCCUUCUCCCUGCUUUUGGCAGUUCUGGGAGUCCAUCAGGCUCUCAGUGGAUUUGGACAUGGGCAGGGGCAGCACCCUCUUCCUUUCUCCCCUGGAUUAGGCUCCCCUGUAUUUUCUCCUCCCUUUCUGUGCCCUUUGCUGCAGCUACGCUUCAAAGCAGGAGAAAGAAUGUGCUGAGUGUUUUCCUCCCUUUGCCUUUAUCCGAACAGCCCAUAUGUCCAGCAAGGGGAGGGAAAGGGAAUUCUUUUCUAUAGAAUGAGUGAGGGUGGGGAGAGGCAUAUCAGGUCUCUGCCACAGCCUGGCUGGGCUUGGUAUUUUCUCCCAUUUCUUCUUACUGCCCAGGUCUCCAGCCUUGGGAAAAAAGACUGGGAAUAACUCAUAGGCAGGGGACAGUGUGGAAGAAGCAGUGAUUUAAAUUUUAUUGGAGAGGGCCUAUAAAAUUCUUUAUUUCAAACACAGCUGAGUUUUUUUUUUACCCCAAUCCUGGCUUGUGACUUCAAGACUGCUGUGGUCUGUGAGUGUCCGUUGUGGGAGGGUCUGUCUCUUGGGCCAGUACCUUAACUCUCCACCUUCACUACCCGUGGGAUCUCCACCUGGCUUGUCCUCUCUGUGCCCUGGAGCAAAGCCAGUUCCUGAACUAAAACUCCAUUCUAGUCUUGGGAAGGAGAGUUUCUGCUCAGAACAGAGACAGGGUGGAAUUUAUGACUUGGGCCUCUGGACUCUCUCAGCCCCUUCUCUCCCCCAUAUGCAUUUCACUCCUCUGCCUUGGGUCUGCAGUCUCUGUCUGCUGCUUAACCCUGUCCUCUCUCUGCCUCAGCCUUACAUCCAGGCAGUAGGCCUGGGCGCCUUCCCUCCCUUGGUCACAGAGAGGCGCCUUUUUUCAGAAAACCUUGGGGAUUUGGAUUCCCCCAGGAAGACAGAGGAAGGAACAGCCACUGUUUCGUCUCAUCUCUCCCCCGACCCAAAACUUCCCACAAAAAACAUCUCAAGAAAUCUUCCUGAGACUUUGAGUUCUGCCCCACCAACUAACUGCCAAUUCUCCAAGAGUGUGGGCGGAUAACUGGGCAUCCAUCCUUGAGGGGGCAUUUCUGUGUAAGAGAUACGUGGAGUCAGGAUGGUAGCCACCUUCAUAUACUGCUCUGUGCAAAGAGGAAUAAAACAUUUCUUUUUCCAAA